This 497-nucleotide ribosomal RNA is filed under the name uncultured bacterium. RNAcentral's name for it is "partial 16S ribosomal RNA". The stretch from base 20 to 341 matches the Rfam family "Bacterial small subunit ribosomal RNA", at positions 47 to 358 of the family's 1533-position model. The record is from RNAcentral.
GAUGAACGCUGGCGGCGUGCCUAAUACAUGCAAGUCGAGCGAACAGACGAGGAGCUUGCUCCUCUGACGUUAGCGGCGGACGGGUGAGUAACACGUGGAUAACCUACCUAUAAGACUGGGAUAACUUCGGGAAACCGGAGCUAAUACCGGAUAAUAUAUUGAACCGCAUGGUUCAAUAGUGAAAGACGGUUUUGCUGUCACUUAUAGAUGGAUCCGCGCCGCAUUAGCUAGUUGGUAAGGUAACGGCUUACCAAGGCAACGAUGCGUAGCCGACCUGAGAGGGGGAGCGGACAAAGGAGAAGAGAGAAAGGGACAAGACAAAGAGGGGAGGAAACAGAGGGGAAUAGGAGGAAAGGGGGGAAAGAAGGAGGGAGAAAGGGGGAGGGAGGGAAAAAGGUAUGGGGAGGGAAAAAAUGUGUAAGAAGGAAAAAAAAAAGGGGAAAGAAAAAAGGCAGGUGUGGAGGGAAACAAAAAAGAAAGAAACGGCAAACAAGGGG